CACCCACCAUGCAAGGUUGAUUGGAUCAGAGACUUCAGUGGCAGCACUGCAAUGCUUGUAACGUGGGGUGCCGUUGCUUUCACACAGAUUUGCCUCAGAACAGGCAUCAGGUGAAACGUGUGGAAGGCGUUGAACUGGAGGAGGGAGGAGACGAGGUGUAGCAGCUCGCUCCAUGAACCGCAAAUUGAGAAAUACCGUCAUACCAACAAGAACGGCUCCCCACAGGUUUUCACAACUUGUGAAUCCUCACUGAAGAGUGAGUGAGUGAGCCUCACUGGGCUGCGCUCAAGAGACUGUAGAUCAAGCACUGAAAGCUUAAAUUGCUCGAUGUCCGUAUUUGAGAACCUCAUACUCAAAAGCAAAGGAAUCAUUAACUAACCCAAACCUGCUUCAAAGUACCUGUAGCAACGGAAAUAGUUACCUGGUGCAACAAAAAUCCACUCAGCAGCAGCUGAAUUCAACACUUUAAGAAAAAUAUCAAUGCUAUAAGACCCUCCUGAGGACUACUCUACCACACGUGCUGCAGUGAAUGAACAUCAUUUGAAUCGGUGGUAUUAACAACACAAUUCAAGACUUUUCCACUGCUGGGUGAUUUCAUUCGGACUCUGUCGUGGUCUUCUCUGAAGCUGAGGCAUUUAGGAAGUUAAUGUACGUCUCCAUAAACAAAUCCUGAGCACCGGAACAUUUGGUUACACCUGUCAGCUGUGGAGACAGCGUUGGCAUUUCGUCUUGCUCAUCUUGCCCCUCAGUACUGCUGCCUUCAUUGUUACUGAUCUGAAGAAAAGAGAAAGAGAUCUCUAAUUAAAUGCAUUUAUUAAAAGCCAAUAGAUGUAAAUAAAAUGCAAAUCUGUUUUAUCACA
This is a long non-coding RNA of Numida meleagris (helmeted guineafowl), 860 nucleotides long. RefSeq lists it as uncharacterized. NCBI's taxonomy places the organism in Eukaryota, Metazoa, Chordata, Aves, Galliformes, Numididae. The record is from RefSeq and is a predicted model, not a curated record. The transcript is spliced from 3 exons.